UGGAGGCAGAUCUUAUUUUUAAAAAAAGUGAUCUGGUCUUUGGAUAUCUUUAGAUAUAACUGCAAACCAGAGCAGGAUCCUCACCUGCCAAAAUUAUGGUACUUAAAUCCUGCUGUUGACAUCACUUAAGCUUAAAUCUGAAGUGAAGGAAAAGAAAGAGCAGGAGCAGUACAGCUGCUUCCGCAAUCUCCAGCUCUCAAGUUGAGAGGCCAGUAAACAUAAAGGACAACCAAAAGGCCACGAUACGUUGGCACGUUACCAUGGAAACUGGCAAUAAAACGUACAGCUUUCCGAUUUGACUGCUGUGUAAAAACUUCACUGAGCAGCCUGGUUUUGAAAUACUGUAACCAGUGGGUGAGGCACAGCUGACCUUAAUUGAAAUCCCAGCCAACAUCUCCUACUGAGCCCUGACAGUUCCCAAGAGAGCAGUAGGAGAGAUAUUAGAGCAACAUGCUGCUGGAAGCUUAUCA
This is a long non-coding RNA of Acipenser ruthenus (sterlet), 470 nucleotides long. RefSeq lists it as uncharacterized. The transcript is spliced from 3 exons. Lineage: Eukaryota; Metazoa; Chordata; Actinopteri; Acipenseriformes; Acipenseridae. The record is from RefSeq and is a predicted model, not a curated record.